GUAAGUUGCAAGAAAUUCUGUCAGGACAGAUUUGAGUAUGCUGUCUUGCGUGAUUUUUAGUAAAUCAUGGGUUUAUUCUUUGACUCUGAAAUAUUUAUGGUAGAUACUGGACAUACAGAGGAGUAGUUAUGUAAAAUUUCAUGACAAUUGGAUGUGUUUGGACAGCCCAUUUGUAUUUUACAAAUGGAGCAUACGCUGCUGAAAUGAGCAGUGAACAACAUAUGCUACACCUGACUUUGUGGAUUUGAUUCUCAAGUUAGGUUGUAUGUUUUGAGUUAUAAUUUAAUACUCUCAUCCUUUGGUAUGUUUGGAGCAUAUAUAAAUUUUAAGGAUUAGUUUCUGUAUGGUUUGGGUGCAUAAUGUGUUUGAUGAUUGUAUCAUGUGCUUUGGGGAAUUUUAUAUGAUAGGAAUUAAGAUUUUCUUGAGUUUGAGAGCUAGGUUGUGAUUGAAGUAUAAGUUUAUAUAUUAGGAAGAGUUUUUCCGUAAUAAGUUUUGGUUUUUCAUUUAGGUGGCGAGAACGAGAAUACAAACACUUGAGCUCCUCUUGUACAAUCUCUCGCGCCUUCUGUUUUCGAGUUCUUCUUGGAAGCAACGAGAGUAUUAGAGGUGGCAAGGAUUCUGUGUUUCUCGUUUGUUAGAAUGUAGAUUUUUGUUGUAUAGCCAUUAGCUCUUUUGUUGUAUAGAAGGAAUCAAGAUGUACUUGAUCCUUUGAGCACAAAUGUAAUUCGAUACCUUAGUUUGUUUUGAACCCCAGUUGUAUGUCUUUGGGGUUAGGUUUGUAAUAAGAGUUUUGCUAAACGUUUAGCUAUGUAAUAUUUACACAUAUACCUUAAGUUUCAGCCAGGUGGUAAUUUUCCAAGUUCAAAGGAAAUCAAAUUUCAAGGUUUCCAUCAUUUUUGUA
Quercus lobata is the source of this 901-nucleotide long non-coding RNA. RefSeq lists it as uncharacterized. NCBI's taxonomy places the organism in Eukaryota, Viridiplantae, Streptophyta, Magnoliopsida, Fagales, Fagaceae. The record is from RefSeq and is a predicted model, not a curated record. The transcript is spliced from 2 exons.